GCCGGACGCGGUGGCGCGCGCCUGUAGUCCCAGCUACUCGGGAGGCUGAGAUGGGAGGAUCGCUUGAGCCCAGGAGUUCUGGGCUGUAGUGCGCUAUGCCGAUCGGGUGUCCGCACUAAGUUCGGCAUCAAUAUGGUGACCUCCCGGGAGCGGGGGACCACCAGGUUGCCUAAGGAGGGGUGAACCGGCCCAGGUCGGAAACGGAGCAGGUCAAAACUCCCGUGCUGAUCAGUAGUGGGAUCGCGCCUGUGAAUAGCCACUGCACUCCAGCCUGGGCAACAUAGCGAGACCCCGUCUCU
Microcebus murinus (gray mouse lemur) is the source of this 299-nucleotide unclassified non-coding RNA. It matches the Rfam family "Metazoan signal recognition particle RNA". From Rfam's summary of the family: The signal recognition particle (SRP) is a universally conserved ribonucleoprotein. It is involved in the co-translational targeting of proteins to membranes. The record is from Ensembl. Lineage: Eukaryota; Metazoa; Chordata; Mammalia; Primates; Cheirogaleidae.